RNAcentral lists this ribosomal RNA (498 nucleotides) under Triticum aestivum (bread wheat). RNAcentral describes it as "partial small subunit ribosomal RNA". Lineage: Eukaryota; Viridiplantae; Streptophyta; Magnoliopsida; Poales; Poaceae. The record is from RNAcentral.
AUGACUCUCAACCUGAAAUGGACUGGGACGCUUUAUUUUGGACCCCUCAACAAAAAGUGGACACCAUCAGCAUGUCGGACGUGCACGUGUACAGCCACCUGGAUCCCAUGGACACCACCUGGACCAAAGGAGUGCAUGUGUAUGGCCACUUGGAAGUGGUCACAAGAGCGACCAGCAGAGCCGCCCUCGCGGCGGCCGGCGGCGGAAAGCAGUGGUGCUACGCGGUGCGCUCCUGUCAGUGACACCCUGCCUUCUCCCCGCCGGACUGCUGUUGGUCUGCACUGCACAAGGAAGAGUGGAGGGCUUGCGAUGGAGAAUGACGAGGAGGGGUGCGCCUCCCCAACCGCCGAUGUCACAGACUUUGAGGUCGCUGCCCGCGGGGAAAACAGCAUGCUCGCCGCCCGUGGGGGAAACCGCAUGCGCAAGAUCCCCGACGCAGUAGACGAGAUCGAGGUCCUUUGCGCAGCGAAGGGAAACUUGGAGGAGCGGCAGCUGUAG